UACAGAGGGGGCAAGCGUUAUUCGGAAUUAUUGGGCGUAAAGGGCGCGUAGGCGGCUUGGCGAGUGGAUGGUGAAAUCCCUCGGCUUAACCGAGGAACUGCCGUCCAAACUGCUUCGCUUGAGACCGGGAGAGGUGAGUGGAAUUCCCAGUGUAGCGGUGAAAUGCGUAGAUAUUGGGAGGAACACCAGUGGCGAAGGCGGCUCACUGGACCGGUACUGACGCUGAUGCGCGAAAGCGUGGGGAGCAAACGGG
RNAcentral lists this ribosomal RNA (253 nucleotides) under uncultured bacterium. RNAcentral's name for it is "partial 16S ribosomal RNA". It matches the Rfam family "Bacterial small subunit ribosomal RNA", at positions 524 to 776 of the family's 1533-position model. The record is from RNAcentral.